This 433-nucleotide ribosomal RNA is filed under the name uncultured Bacillus sp. Its description in RNAcentral is "bacterial SSU rRNA". It matches the Rfam family "Bacterial small subunit ribosomal RNA", at positions 958 to 1392 of the family's 1533-position model. The record is from RNAcentral. Lineage: Bacteria; Bacillati; Bacillota; Bacilli; Caryophanales; Bacillaceae.
AACGCGAAGAACCUUACCAGGUCUUGACAUCCUCUGAAAACCCUAGAGAUAGGGCUUCUCCUUCGGGAGCAGAGURACAGGUGGUGCAUGGUUGUCGUCAGCUCGUGUCGUGAGAUGUUGGGUUAAGUCCCGCAACGAGCGCAACCCUUGAYCUUAGUUGCCAUCAUUAAGUUGGGCACUCUAAGGUGACUGCCGGUGACAAACCGGAGGAAGGUGGGGAUGACGKCAAAUCAUCAUGCCCCUUAUGACCUGGGCUACACACGUGCUACAAUGGACGGUACAAAGAGCUGCWAGACCGCGAGGUGGAGCUAAUCUCAUAAAACCGUUCUCAGUUCGGAUUGUAGGCUGCAACUCGCCUACAUGAAGCUGGAAUCGCUAGUAAUCGCGGAUCAGCAUGCCGCGRUGAAUACGUUCCCGGGCCUUGUACACACCG